GGCGGCGUGCUUAACACAUGCAAGUCGAACGAGGUCCAUGAAGUAGCAAUACUUCGGAAGACCUAGUGGCGAACGGGUGCGUAACACGUGAGGAACUUGUCCCGGUCUCUGGGAUAACAGUUGGAAACGACUGCUAAUACCGGAUGACGUCGGAGCAUCGCAUGGUGCGCUGACGAAAGGGUUACUGGAUCGGGAGAGCCUCGCGGCCUAUCAGCUUGUUGGUGGGGUAACGGCCCACCAAGGCAUCGACGGGUAGCUGGUCUGAGAGGAUGAUCAGCCACACUGGGACUGAGACACGGCCCAGACUCCUACGGGAGGCAGCAGUGGGGAAUCUUGCGCAAUGGGCGAAAGCCUGACGCAGCAACGCCGCGUGCGGGAAGAAGGCUCUCGGGUUGUAAACCGCUUUCAGCAGGAACGAAAAUGACGGUACUUGCAGAAGAAGGUGCGGCCAACUACGUGCCAGCAGCCGCGGUGACACGUAGGCACCAAGCGUUGUCCGGAUUUAUUGGGCGUAAAGAGCUCGUAGGCGGUUCGGUAAGUCGGGUGUGAAAACUUGGGGCUUAACCCCAAGCCUGCAUCCGAUACUGCUGUGACUAGAGUUCGGUAGGGGAGCGG
Molecule: ribosomal RNA, 615 nt
Filed under: uncultured bacterium
Lineage: Bacteria
Description: bacterial SSU rRNA
Rfam family: Bacterial small subunit ribosomal RNA
Source: RNAcentral